Molecule: long non-coding RNA, 1604 nt
Filed under: Homo sapiens (human)
Lineage: Eukaryota; Metazoa; Chordata; Mammalia; Primates; Hominidae
Description: HSALNT0249420
Source: RNAcentral
GUUUUGCACUGCAGCCAUCACCCCUGGAUUCUGGAUGCAGAAGGAACAUUGUGGACAAGGGAUGGGGAGGAAGUAGAAAUAUGGUUCCAGUCUGGGGCUGAGUUUCAUCUUCCAAUCCAGGUUUUAUUGGUUUUUAAAACUUAAUUUUUGAAUAUUCAUUUGACUCCUGUGCUUGUUUCUCAAUUGCUUCAGAGGAAAAGGAUGGCUUUGUCAAACUUGUAUUUGUCCCUGGGGUAAAGGGCUUCAAUGCUGAGCAUCGAGCAUAAGGAGUUGGAGAAAGAGAUGUGGGUGAUUUACCUCUGCCAUAUAUCGGAUUGGCAAAAAUAAAUGAAUUUCAUCUGAAGAGAAUUAACACAAGCAUACACAUAUACACAGGAGUGCACAUAAAAAUUAAUCUUCAAGAGGAUAGAAACAGGGGAUGGUGUAGUUCCUGCCAUGAAGUACAGAUCAACUGGUACCAGAGAUUCAAAAUUGUGGAAUGGAUCAUGGGGAUUUCUCUCUUCCCUGUCAUAAAGAGUAAUUCAAUCAGGAAAACUGACAUGCAUUGUUGUAUUGUGGGUGCAACAGCUGAGAAGAUGAAAAAGACAUAGAGAAAGGGGAUAUUGGAAAUAAAAGGAUGUUAAAAUGAUAUAAUUUUUAAGAAGGUUGAGAAGGAAUAUGGGAUAUUUAUAUUCCUCUAAAUUUGAUAGAUAAUGAUGUCCACAAAGAAGAGUUUGCUGAAAUAAUUUUAAAUUUUGGUGAGCACAGACUAUCAAUGCCAAACGCAAUGGGUAAUUUUCUGUGUCAGCUUGGCUAGGCUGUGAUCUCCAAGUGUUUGUUCAAACAGCAAUCGUAGAUGUCCUUGUGAAGGUAUUUUUAGGUAAGAUUAACAUUUAAAUCAGUAGUCUUUGAGUAAAGCAGAUGACCUGCAAUAAUGUGAGUGGGUCUCAAAUUUGUUUUAAGUUGAAGGCCUUAAGAGAGAAAGAUUAAGGUCAUCCAUGAAAGAGGGAAUUCUGCUACCAGAUUGCAUUUGGACUCAAGCUGCAAUAUCAGCUCUUCCCUGGGUCUCCAACCUGACAGCCUGUCCUAUAGAUAAGAGCUUGCCAGUCCCCACAAUCACAUGACACAUGAGCCAGUCCUUUUUUUUUUAGCCAAUUCUUUAAAAUUCUUCUCCUCUCUCUCUCUCUCUCUCCCCCGCCUCUCCCUCUCUCUCUCCCUUCUUUCUCUGUGUAUACACAUGCACGCGUGCACGCGCGCACACACACACACACACACACACACUCAUCCUAUUAGUUCCGUUUCUCUGGAGAACCCAGACUAAUGUACUUCCUCAGUAAUUGUUUUAGCAUUCUGGAUUCUGUUACUUUACUAUCAGCCUUAAAAUUGCAAAAAGAAGAAGGAAAGUUUUAUCAACCAUUUCAGACACUAAGUUUUCAGCCUUUUGGGAUCAAGGAAAAUACAAUCCAUAUGUUUUGGACUCACUUGCUAUUAUCCAGAACAUUAUAUCGGAGAUGGUUUAAAAUUUCUGGCUGGUUCAAUAUACGCAAAUCAAUAAAUGUAAUCCAGCAUAUAAACAGAACCAAAGACAAAAACCACAUGAUUAUCUCAAUAGAUGCAGAAAAAGC